Molecule: small RNA, 364 nt
Filed under: Pongo abelii (Sumatran orangutan)
Lineage: Eukaryota; Metazoa; Chordata; Mammalia; Primates; Hominidae
Description: processed transcript
Source: RNAcentral
CGAAGGCGGCUCGGGCUCGGGCUCCGGAUGUGCUAGGUGUGGGCCGGCCCCCACCCGACCCUGACAAGUGACCAUGGAUCCUGGAGCCGGGUCAGAGACAUCUCUGACUGUCAAUGAGCAGGUCAUCGUGAUGUCAGGUCAUGAGACCAUCCGAGUGCUGGAAGUCGGAGUGGAUGCCCAGCUCCCUGCUGAGGAAGAGAGCAAAGGACUGGAGGGUGUGGCCGCUGAGGGCUCCCAGAGCGGAGACCCUGCUGAAGCCAGUCAAGCUGCUGGUGAAGCUGGGCCAGACAACCUGGGCUCCUCUGCAGAGGCAACUGUAUUGCAGGUCAAGUGGCUGGUCAGCAGGGGCUGGCCGUGUGGACAA